RNAcentral lists this ribosomal RNA (476 nucleotides) under Dicranoloma brevisetum. Its description in RNAcentral is "eukaryotic LSU rRNA". The stretch from base 1 to 79 matches the Rfam family "5.8S ribosomal RNA", at positions 75 to 154 of the family's 154-position model. Lineage: Eukaryota; Viridiplantae; Streptophyta; Bryopsida; Dicranales; Dicranaceae. The record is from RNAcentral.
CAGAAUUCCGCGAAUCAUCGAGUCUUUGAACGCAAGUUGCGCCCGAGGCUUGACCAAGGGCAUCCCUGCCAGAGCGUCACCGCGACACCCACCGAUCCGCUCCCAGCUAGCUCUGGGAGUGCGACCGAGUGAAGCUGGGCCAUCCGAAUGGGGGCCACACCACCCGGGACUUCGUGUGCCCUUUGGGGGUGGGGGUGGCGGAUUGGGUUGGCUGAAAUGGAGGCAAUUUGGCCGCCGUGGUGACACAGCCCGCGAUCAGGUGAUCCGGGUCUCAUCUUGGAACUACUUCUAGGUGUGGUGCUGUGUCUCCCAGUUGGUACGAUGAGGAUGGAUUCCAAAGCAGGUCCCGGACUCCCCCCCGCUGCGCCCCCGCACUCCCUGCCUUGCGCUCGGAGGGAGGGAGGAGAGGAGGGGAGUGUCCCGAGGUGUAACGUCACGCAUCAGACCUCUGAUCAGGGAAGACCACCCGCUGAAUU